RNAcentral lists this ribosomal RNA (420 nucleotides) under Triticum aestivum (bread wheat). RNAcentral's name for it is "partial small subunit ribosomal RNA". The record is from RNAcentral. Lineage: Eukaryota; Viridiplantae; Streptophyta; Magnoliopsida; Poales; Poaceae.
AUGGUGGCGGAUGCGCUUGCUGAUCGCCGCUGGAUUGACGACAUCCGGGGAGCUCUGGGUCUUGCGGCCACCGUGGAAUACGUAAGCCUAUGGAUCCGUCUCCAGCAUGUCGAGCUGCUCCCUCGCCCGAACUCGAUUCGCUGGCGCUGGACGAAAAAUGGGUGCUACUCGGCCUCCUCUUGCUACAUCUCCCUCUUCCAUGGCUCCACCUCCUCGGCCACCUGGCACCUCGCCUAGCAAACUAGUGCUCCGACCUCGGUGCAGUUCUUCAUCUGGCUAGCCUCUCUCAACCGCUGCUGGUCCGCUGAUCGCCUCGCGUGGCGCGCCUUACCCGACGAGCUGGCCUGCGUGCUUUGCUCUCAAGAGCCCGAGACCAUGCACCACAUCCUGGUGGGUUGUGUCUUCGCGCGAGCAACAUGA